AUUGAACGCUGGCGGCCUUCCUCCCCCCUUCACUUCGAACUUUCACAGGGAUCAGCUUUCUUAUUCGCUGACGAGUGGCGGACGGGUGAGUAAUGUCUGGGAAACUGCCUGAUGGAGGGGGAUAACUACUGGAAACGGUAGCUAAUACCGCAUAACGUCGCAAUACCAAAGAGGGGGACCUUCGGGCCUCUUGCCAUCGGAUGUGCCCCGAUGGGAUUAGCUAGUAGGUGGGGUAACGGCUCACCUAGGCGACGAUCCCUAGCUGGUCUGAGAGGAUGACACGCCACACUGGAACUGAGACACGGUCCAGACUCAUACGGGAGGCAGCGGUGGGGAAUAGUGCACAAUGGGAGCAAGCCUGAUGCAGCCAUGCAGAGUGGAUGAAGAAGGCCUUCGGGUGGUAAAGGAGGGGAAGAGGGGAGGAAGGGAGUAAAGUUAAGACAGUUGCUCAUUGAGGGUACAAGCAGAAGAAGCAAAGGAGAAAGCCGGG
RNAcentral lists this ribosomal RNA (490 nucleotides) under uncultured bacterium. RNAcentral's name for it is "partial 16S ribosomal RNA". It matches the Rfam family "Bacterial small subunit ribosomal RNA", at positions 29 to 507 of the family's 1533-position model. The record is from RNAcentral.